Molecule: microRNA precursor, 66 nt
Filed under: Bombyx mori (domestic silkworm)
Lineage: Eukaryota; Metazoa; Arthropoda; Insecta; Lepidoptera; Bombycidae
Description: mir-2774 microRNA precursor family
Rfam family: mir-2774 microRNA precursor family
Source: Rfam by way of RNAcentral
ACAACAUUAGACCGUCGGUUUACCAAACUAUUUCACCCGCUUGAUGUAAAAUCUUCUUUUUGUCGU